This 497-nucleotide ribosomal RNA is filed under the name uncultured bacterium. Its description in RNAcentral is "partial 16S ribosomal RNA". It matches the Rfam family "Bacterial small subunit ribosomal RNA", at positions 28 to 507 of the family's 1533-position model. The record is from RNAcentral.
GAUGAACGCUGGCGGCGUGCCUAAUACAUGCAAGUCGAGCGAACGGACGAGAAGCUUGCUUCUCUGAUGUUAGCGGCGGACGGGUGAGUAACACGUGGAUAACCUACCUAUAAGACUGGGAUAACUUCGGGAAACCGGAGCUAAUACCGGAUAAUAUUUUGAACCGCAUGGUUCAAAAGUGAAAGACGGUCUUGCUGUCACUUAUAGAUGGAUCCGCGCUGCAUUAGCUAGUUGGUAAGGUAACGGCUUACCAAGGCAACGAUGCAUAGCCGACCUGAGAGGGUGAUCGGCCACACGGGAGCGGAGACACGGUCCAGACUCCUACGGGAGGCAGCAGUAGGGAAUCUUCCGCAAUGGGCGAAAGCCUGACGGAGCAACGCCGCGUGAGUGAUGAAGGUCUUCGGAUCGUAAAACUCUGUUAUUAGGGAAGAACAUAUGUGUAAGUAACUGUGCACAUCUUGACGGUACCUAAUCAGAAAGCCACGGCUAACUACGUG